UCAGAGAACAGGUCAAGGAAAUGCCACGC
Molecule: non-coding RNA, 29 nt
Filed under: Mus musculus (house mouse)
Lineage: Eukaryota; Metazoa; Chordata; Mammalia; Rodentia; Muridae
Source: RNAcentral